Molecule: ribosomal RNA, 814 nt
Filed under: uncultured marine bacterium
Lineage: Bacteria
Description: bacterial SSU rRNA
Rfam family: Bacterial small subunit ribosomal RNA
Source: RNAcentral
CAGUCGAACGACCUUCGGGUUAGUGGCGGACGGGUGAGUAACGCGUGAGAAUCUGCCCUCAGGAGGGGGAUAACAGCUGGAAACGGCUGCUAAUACCCCAUAUGCCGCGAGGUGAAAUGAAUUUCGCCUGAGGAUGAGCUCGCGUCUGAUUAGCUAGUUGGUGUGGGUAAUGGCUCACCAAGGCAUUGAUCAGUAGCUGGUCUGAGAGGAUGAUCAGCCACACUGGGACUGAGACACGGCCCAGACUCCUACGGGAGGCAGCAGUGGGGAAUUUUCCGCAAUGGGCGAAAGCCUGACGGAGCAACGCCGCGUGAGGGAUGAAGGCCUCUGGGCUGUAAACCUCUUUUAUCAAGGAAGAAGAUCUGACGGUACUUGAUGAAUAAGCCACGGCUAAUUCCGUGCCAGCAGCCGCGGUAAUACGGGAGUGGCAAGCGUUAUCCGGAAUUAUUGGGCGUAAAGCGUCCGCAGGCGGCCCUUCAAGUCUGCUGUUAAAAAGUGGAGCUUAACUCCAUCAUGGCAGUGGAAACUGAGGGGCUUGAGUGUGGUAGGGGCAGAGGGAAUUCCCGGUGUAGCGGUGAAAUGCGUUGAUAUCGGGAAGAACACCAGUGGCGAAGGCGCUCUGCUGGGCCAUCACUGACGCUCAUGGACGAAAGCCAGGGGAGCGAAAGGGAUUAGAUACCCCUGUAGUCCUGGCCGUAAACGAUGAACACUAGGUGUCGGGGGAAUCGACCCCCUCGGUGUCGUAGCCAACGCGUUAAGUGUUCCGCCUGGGGAGUACGCACGCAAGUGUGAAACUCAAAGGAAUUGACGGGGG